UUGGUUCGAGAGCAACUUGAUGACUGCAUCGAAUCGGGUGACACAAUACAAAUAUGGCGGCCAACUAUUUCAUGAUGCACGCGCGUUUCGAUUGCUGUUUUCACUAUGAUAACGGCCGUAGAUAACUAUGAUAUUGCAGGAAAAAUAAUAUUCUAUUAUCAUUCAAAGUAUAGAGUUUUUGAAGACGACCAUUUGCUUUGUUUGUAAUGGUUUUGAAAGUGAUUCAAUUGUCGUAAGAGUGAACGGCAGAAAACAAAUUAUAUCAGGCAAAACAUGUGUCUGGUUAUGUGAACAGACAGGAUUCAGAAAGUGAAGUGGGAGUAGUACUGCAAUGAUCUUGACAAUGCUAUUAAAAGUGGUAUCCUUGAAGAAGGCGAAUGUGCUGGUAGAGCAGCUAUCGAAAUCGCUCAAACUGUCUUCAAGCAGCCAAACAGCAGGAGGACGCCUCAUGUUAAAGAAGCUGUUAUCAAAGUUGUUAAGAAUGGCGCUUUCCUCGAUGAAAAAAUAAGAACGCAAAUUCAACCUUGUAUUUUGGUAGUGGAUGACCUUUAUCAAAGUGACAUUAUAUAUGUGGUGGCAGAAGGAAUAGUUUUGUGCCAUGUAACAACCAAAAAGAUUGGCGAUGCUUUGGUUGCUUUGUUGGCCACGUACUAUAUAUACAAUAUACAAUACAUUGAUGGCAAGAAUGUGUAUAGCUUUCUUGACAUGGCAUUAUUGGGAAUUAUCCCAGAGAAGUGUCCAUCUUCUGUGAAAAGUUUAGUUGGAGGGUUAUCAAAUGUGUUCAACUAAUCAUGAAUGCAUAUGCAUGGUAUAUAGAUUAUGUUUUAUUUCAAUUCUUUUUUGUGAAGUUUAAUUUGAGUGAGAUAAAAAUAUGUCCAUGUGAAGUAUUUUAACGAAGGUGUUAAGCACUUAUGUGCUUACGUAUAUUAUAUGAGUCUUGUUUA
Molecule: long non-coding RNA, 944 nt
Organism: Xenia sp. Carnegie-2017
Lineage: Eukaryota; Metazoa; Cnidaria; Anthozoa; Malacalcyonacea; Xeniidae
Exons: 4
Source: RefSeq, a predicted model, not a curated record